CCUACGGGUGGCAGCAGUGAGGAAUAUUGGUCAAUGGCCGGGAGGCUGAACCAGCCAAGUCGCGUGAGGGAAGACGGCCCUACGGGUUGUAAACCUCUUUUGUCAGGGAGCAAGAUGCAGGUCGGGACCUGCUGUGAGAGUACCUGAAGAAAAAGCAUCGGCUAACUCCGUGCCAGCAGCCGCGGUAAUACGGAGGAUGCGAGCGUUAUCCGGAUUUAUUGGGUUUAAAGGGUGCGCAGGCGGAGGCACAAGUCAGCGGUAAAAUCGCGGGGCUCAACCCCGCUCCGCCGUUGAAACUGGGUGCCUUGAGUGCGCGAAGGGUAGGCGGAAUGCGUGGUGUAGCGGUGAAAUGCAUAGAUAUCACGCAGAACUCCGAUCGCGAAGGCAGCCUACCGGCGCGCAACUGACGCUCAUGCACGAAAGCGUGGGUAUCGAACAGGAUUAGAUACCCCAGUAGUC
This 459-nucleotide ribosomal RNA is filed under the name uncultured bacterium. RNAcentral's name for it is "partial 16S ribosomal RNA". It matches the Rfam family "Bacterial small subunit ribosomal RNA", at positions 338 to 795 of the family's 1533-position model. The record is from RNAcentral.